This 780-nucleotide ribosomal RNA is filed under the name uncultured bacterium. RNAcentral describes it as "bacterial SSU rRNA". It matches the Rfam family "Bacterial small subunit ribosomal RNA", at positions 34 to 796 of the family's 1533-position model. The record is from RNAcentral.
CGCUGGCGGCGUGCCUAAUACAUGCAAGUCGAGCGAACGGACGAGAAGCUUGCUUCUCUGAUGUUAGCGGCGGACGGGUGAGUAACACGUGGAUAACCUACCUAUAAGACUGGGAUAACUUCGGGAAACCGGAGCUAAUACCGGAUAAUAUUUUGAACCGCAUGGUUCAAAAGUGAAAGACGGUCUUGCUGUCACUUAUAGAUGGAUCCGCGCUGCAUUAGCUAGUUGGUAAGGUAACGGCUUACCAAGGCAACAAUGCAUAGCCGACCUGAGAGGGUGAUCGGCCACACUGGAACUGAGACACGGUCCAGACUCCUACGGGAGGCAGCAGUAGGGAAUCUUCCGCAAUGGGCGAAAGCCUGACGGAGCAACGCCGCGUGAGUGAUGAAGGUCUUCGGAUCGUAAAACUCUGUUAUUAGGGAAGAACAUAUGUGUAAGUAACUGUGCACAUCUUGACGGUACCUGAUCAGAAAGCCACGGCUAACUACGUGCCAGCAGCCGCGGUAAUACGUAGGUGGCAAGCGUUAUCCGGAAUUAUUGGGCGUAAAGCGCGCGUAGGCGGUUUUUUAAGUCUGAUGUGAAAGCCCACGGCUCAACCGUGGAGGGUCAUUGGAAACUGGAAAACUUGAGUGCAGAAGAGGAAAGUGGAAUUCCAUGUGUAGCGGUGAAAUGCGCAGAGAUAUGGAGGAACACCAGUGGCGAAGGCGACUUUCUGGUCUGUAACUGACGCUGAUGUGCGAAGGCGUGGGGAUCAAACAGGAUUAGAUACCCUGGUAGUCC